GGAGAAGAGUUCGCUCCGUGUCGUGUUCUGGAGUCGUUGAGGGAGAUUGACGGAGAGCCGAAGUUAACAAGUCAACAGGUUAUGAAAAAUGCCUGGAGAAGGUUUUUAAUGUCCAAACCUCAAGAACACGGUUCUUUGUUGACUGCUGGAAAGUGCUUACCUGUCAGCGCGGCACAGUUGGCUGCCACAGCAAGUGUGACACCAGCGAGCCACGGCAGCCUGCAGCCAGGAGCCGCCAUCAGUCACUGAUGCCACACACACACCGACACAGAGACGUCUGACUAACCAGUCUCUGAGAAAGGUCCGGUGUAGUUCUCGGGACAGAGACAGGCGUAGGUGUCCGGCCCGUGCAGACAGGUGGCUCCGUGGGCACACAGGUGGUUCUCGCACACGUCCACCUUCUUCUCACAGUCCACAC
Cynoglossus semilaevis (tongue sole) is the source of this 418-nucleotide long non-coding RNA. RefSeq lists it as uncharacterized. Lineage: Eukaryota; Metazoa; Chordata; Actinopteri; Pleuronectiformes; Cynoglossidae. The record is from RefSeq and is a predicted model, not a curated record. The transcript is spliced from 3 exons.